GUGAUGCCCUUAGAUGUCCUGGGCUGCACGCGCGCUACACUGAUGAAGUCAGCGAGUCUAUAACCUUGUUCGGAAGGACAUUGGGGCCCUCCCCGCCAGCGUCCGGCACCGGCCCGCGCCCCCUCGGGGGUUUGUGCGGCCGGGGCCGGGGGCCCGGCGGCCCGGGGGCCCCUCUCUGUGGGUAAUCUUGUGAAACUUCAUCGUGCUGGGGAUAGAUCAUUGCAAUUAUUGAUCUUCAACGAGGAAUUCCUAGUAAGCGCGAGUCAUCAGCUCGCGUUGAUUACGUCCCUGCCCUU
Molecule: ribosomal RNA, 296 nt
Filed under: Moneuplotes crassus
Lineage: Eukaryota; Ciliophora; Spirotrichea; Euplotida; Euplotidae
Description: partial Eukaryotic small subunit ribosomal RNA
Rfam family: Eukaryotic small subunit ribosomal RNA
Source: RNAcentral